This 71-nucleotide transfer RNA is filed under the name Megaselia scalaris. It matches the Rfam family "tRNA". From Rfam's summary of the family: Transfer RNA (tRNA) molecules are approximately 80 nucleotides in length. Their secondary structure includes four short double-helical elements and three loops (D, anti-codon, and T loops). Lineage: Eukaryota; Metazoa; Arthropoda; Insecta; Diptera; Phoridae. The record is from Rfam by way of RNAcentral.
GCGUUGGUGGUGUAAUGGUCAGCAUAGUUGCCUUCCAAGAGUUGAUCCGGGUUCGAUUCCCGGCCUACGCA